This 348-nucleotide unclassified non-coding RNA is filed under the name soil metagenome. RNAcentral describes it as "partial contains 5.8S ribosomal RNA, internal transcribed spacer 2, and large subunit ribosomal RNA". The stretch from base 1 to 120 matches the Rfam family "5.8S ribosomal RNA", at positions 35 to 154 of the family's 154-position model. The record is from RNAcentral.
GAUGAAGAACGUAGCGAAAUGCGAUAAGUAAUGUGAAUUGCAGAAUUCAGUGAAUCAUCGAAUCUUUGAACGCACAUUGCGCCCGCCAGUAUUCUGGUGGGCAUGCCUGUCUGAGCGUCAUUUCAACCCUCAUGCCCCUAGGGCGUGGUGUUGGGGAUCGGCCAAAGCCCGCGAGGGACGGCCUGCCCCUAAAUCUAGUGGCGGACCCGUCGUGGCCUCCUCUGCGAAGUAGUGAUAUUCCGCAUCGGAGAGCGAUGAGCCCCUGCCGUUAAACCCCCAACUUUCCAAGGUUGACCUCAGAUCAGGUAGGAAUACCCGCUGAACUUAAGCAUAUCAAUAAGCGGAGGA